RNAcentral lists this long non-coding RNA (1518 nucleotides) under Cottoperca gobio. RNAcentral describes it as "lncRNA (ENSCGOG00000019528.1)". The record is from RNAcentral. Lineage: Eukaryota; Metazoa; Chordata; Actinopteri; Perciformes; Bovichtidae.
AAAAUAACUAAAUAAUAUUCUUCUUAGUCUACCUUUAUUUUAUUAUUUAUUUCGUGAUGUAAUGUUAUGUACCAAGGAACGGACUUUGAGAUUGUAAAAUCUUACACGUACCUGGGCGUUCACCUGAACUGUGAACUGCUCAGAUAACAGCUGUUUAAGAAGGGACAGAGCAGCUGAAGGAGGUCUGUUGGAGUGCAGGAGGCUCCUGAAGACCUUCUUUGACUCUGUGGGGUCAUCAGCUGUUCUUUAUGGGGGGGGGGGGGGGUCUGCUGGUACAGCAACAUCUCUGCUGAUAGGAAGACACUGAAUAGACUGCUGAAGAAGGCCAGCUCUGUCCUGGGGAGGCCUCUGGACACUGUGGAGGUGGUGGGAGACGAGCUGUCCUCUCUAUUGGACAACAUGUCCCCCCCCCCUCCAGGACACUUUGUCCUCACUGUUUAGCUCCUUCAGUGACAGGCUGCUUCACCCGCAGUGUCUCACGGAGAGAUACCGGAGGUCCUGUCUCCCUGCAGCGGUCAGACUGCACCAUCAUCACCACGGCCCCUGGUAGACCACCACACCAACAACACACUGUUCCACAGACAACACACUGUCCCCCCGACAACACGUUGUCCCGCCGACAACACGCUGUCCCACCGACAACACACUGUCACACAGACAACACACUGUCCCACCGACACACUGUCCCACCGACACACACUGUCACACAGACAACACACUGUUCCACCGACAACACACUGUUCCACCGACAACACACUGUUCCACCAACUGUCCCACCGACAACACACUGUCCCACCGACACACACUGUUCCACCGACAACACACACUGCCCCACCGACACACACUGUUCCACCGACAACACACACUGUUCCACCGACAACACACACUGUUCCACCAACUGUCCCACUGACAACACACUGUCCCACCGACAACACACUGUCCCGCCGACAACACACUGUUCCACCGACAACACACUGUCACACAGACAACACACUGUCCCACAGACAACACACUGUCCCACAGACAACACACUGUUCCACCGACACACACUGUUCCACCGACACACUGUCCCACCGACACACACUGUUCCACCGACAACACACUGUUCCACCAAACUGUCCCACCGACAACACACUGUUCCACCGACAACACACUGUCCCACAGACAACACACUGUUCCACCAACACACACUGUUCCACCGACAACACACUGUUCCACCAACUGUCCCACCGACAACACACUGUUCCACCAACUGUCCCACCGACAACACACUGUUCCAACGACAACACACUGUCCCACCGACACACACUGUUCCACCGACAACACACUGUUCCACCAACUGUCCCACCGACAACACACUGUUCCACCGACAACACACUGUUCCACCAACACACACUGUUCCACUGACAACACACUGUCCCACCGACACACACUGCCCCACCGACAACACACUGUUCCACCAACUGUCCCACCGACAACACACUGUUCCACCGACAACACACUGUUCCACCAACACAC